RNAcentral lists this ribosomal RNA (1157 nucleotides) under Isodontia mexicana. Its description in RNAcentral is "eukaryotic LSU rRNA". It matches the Rfam family "Eukaryotic large subunit ribosomal RNA", at positions 401 to 1266 of the family's 3401-position model. The record is from RNAcentral. Lineage: Eukaryota; Metazoa; Arthropoda; Insecta; Hymenoptera; Sphecidae.
GAAACCGUUCAGGGGUAAACCCGAGAAACCCAAAAGAUCGAAUGGGGAGAUUCAUCGUCAGCGGCGUUGGUCUCGCGGCGGUGAGGUGAUGCUCCGCUAACGGACCUCGGUCCGAAACGCGAGAGCACUCCAUCGCCGCGUUCACGUCCGACGUCGUAGUCGUGCACUUCUCCCCUAGUAGAACGUCGCGACCCGUUGGGUGUCGGUCUACGGCCCGGGUGGUGGCCUGCCGCGUCGUUUCAAAGCGUUCGCGGCAAACCCCCGGUGUCUCCCGGCCGGCUGCCCGGCGGUACUCGCACGGUAUCGGGCCGCAAUCUCGGAAUUGCGUCCAGGCCCGCCGCAGGCGCGGUCAGUGCAACCCGGAUCGUACGGACUAUGCGCCGUCGCCGGGCCUGACCCGCUGUUCGCGGAGCGGUGUCCUCGGACUGGCCAAACUUCGAAUUACCGGUCGGCGACGCUACUGCUUUGGGUACUCUCGGGACCCGUCUUGAAACACGGACCAAGGAGUCUAACAUGUGCGCGAGUCAUUGGGACUAAGCAAAACCUAAAGGCGUAAUGAAAGUGAAGGUCGACCCCGGUGUCGACCGAGGGAGGAUGGGCCGCGUUACGAUUCGGCCUCGCACUCCCGGGGCGUCUCGUUCUCAUUGCGAGAUGAGGCGCACCCAGAGCGUACACGUUGGGACCCGAAAGAUGGUGAACUAUGCCUGGUCAGGACGAAGUCAGGGGAAACCCUGAUGGAGGUCCGUAGCGAUUCUGACGUGCAAAUCGAUCGUCGGAACUGGGUAUAGGGGCGAAAGACUAAUCGAACCAUCUAGUAGCUGGUUCCCUCCGAAGUUUCCCUCAGGAUAGCUGGCACUCGUGCGUUCCGUGAGAACGAAAGAUGAGUCUCAUCUGGUAAAGCGAAUGAUUAGAGGCCUUGGGGCCGAAACGACCUCAACCUAUUCUCAAACUUUAAAUGGGUGAGAUCUCUGGCUUGCUUGAACUAUGAAGCCACGAGAUUUCGGAUCAGAGUGCCAAGUGGGCCAAUUUUGGUAAGCAGAACUGGCGCUGUGGGAUGAACCAAACGCAGAGUUAAGGCGCCUAAGUCGACGCUUAUGGGAUACCAUGAAAGGCGUUGGUUGCUUAAGACAGCAGGACGGUGGCCAUGGAAGUCGGAA